UAGGGAAUCUUCCACAAUGGACGCAAGUCUGAUGGAGCAACGCCGCGUGAGUGAAGAAGGUCUUCGGAUCGUAAAGCUCUGUUGUUGGUGAAGAAGGAUAGAGGCAGUAACUGGUCUUUAUUUGACGGUAAUCAACCAGAAAGUCACGGCUAACUACGUGCCAGCAGCCGCGGUAAUACGUAGGUGGCAAGCGUUGUCCGGAUUUAUUGGGCGUAAAGCGAGCGCAGGCGGAAUGAUAAGUCUGAUGUGAAAGCCCACGGCUCAACCGUGGAACUGCAUCGGAAACUGUCAUUCUUGAGUGCAGAAGAGGAGAGUGGAACUCCAUGUGUAGCGGUGGAAUGCGUAGAUAUAUGGAAGAACACCAGUGGCGAAGGCGGCUCUCUGGUCUGCAACUGACGCUGAGGCUCGAAAGCAUGGGUAGCGAACAGGAUUAGAUACCCUGGUGAGUCCAUGCCGUAAACGAUGAGC
Molecule: ribosomal RNA, 468 nt
Filed under: uncultured bacterium
Lineage: Bacteria
Description: partial 16S ribosomal RNA
Rfam family: Bacterial small subunit ribosomal RNA
Source: RNAcentral